CCUACGGGUGGCUGCAGUGGGGAAUAUUGGACAAUGGGGGCAACCCUGAUCCAGCCAUGCCGCGUGUGUGAAGAAGGCCCUCGGGUUGUAAAGCACUUUCAGUGAGGAAGAACGCCUGGUGGUUAAUACCCAUCAGGAAAGACAUCACUCACAGAAGAAGCACCGGCUAACUCCGUGCCAGCAGCCGCGGUAAUACGGAGGGUGCGAGCGUUAAUCGGAAUUACUGGGCGUAAAGCGCGCGUAGGUGGCUUGAUAAGCCGGUUGUGAAAGCCCCGGGCUCAACCUGGGAACGGCAUCCGGAACUGUCAAGCUAGAGUGCAGGAGAGGAAGGUAGAAUUCCCGGUGUAGCGGUGAAGUGCGUAGAGAUCGGGAGGAAUACCAGUGGCGAAGGCGUCCUUCUGGACUGACACUGACACUGAGGUGCGAAAGCGUGGGUAGCAAACAGGAUUAGAUACCCGUGUAGUC
This 465-nucleotide ribosomal RNA is filed under the name Vreelandella stevensii. RNAcentral describes it as "partial 16S ribosomal RNA". It matches the Rfam family "Bacterial small subunit ribosomal RNA", at positions 338 to 795 of the family's 1533-position model. Lineage: Bacteria; Pseudomonadati; Pseudomonadota; Gammaproteobacteria; Oceanospirillales; Halomonadaceae. The record is from RNAcentral.